UUCACUGAAAUUGUUCUUGUGUAAAAGAGGAGUAAAGUGCAUAUCUCAGACAUGUUCUUUUUUUAUUUUUUUUGUGUGUGUGUGUG
Sinocyclocheilus grahami is the source of this 86-nucleotide long non-coding RNA. RefSeq lists it as uncharacterized. The record is from RefSeq and is a predicted model, not a curated record. NCBI's taxonomy places the organism in Eukaryota, Metazoa, Chordata, Actinopteri, Cypriniformes, Cyprinidae. The transcript is spliced from 3 exons.